Molecule: ribosomal RNA, 1016 nt
Filed under: uncultured bacterium
Lineage: Bacteria
Description: bacterial SSU rRNA
Rfam family: Bacterial small subunit ribosomal RNA
Source: RNAcentral
AGGAAUAUUGGUCAAUGGACGCGAGUCUGAACCAGCCAAGUAGCGUGAAGGAUGACUGCCCUAUGGGUUGUAAACUUCUUUUAUAUGGGAAUAAAGUGGUCCACGUGUGGAUUUUUGUAUGUACCAUAUGAAUAAGGAUCGGCUAACUCCGUGCCAGCAGCCGCGGUAAUACGGAGGAUCCGAGCGUUAUCCGGAUUUAUUGGGUUUAAAGGGAGCGUAGGCGGAUUGUUAAGUCAGUUGUGAAAGUUUGCGGCUCAACCGUAAAAUUGCAGUUGAUACUGGCAGUCUUGAGUGCAGUAGAGGUGGGCGGAAUUCGUGGUGUAGCGGUGAAAUGCUUAGAUAUCACGAAGAACUCCGAUUGCGAAGGCAGCUCACUGGAGUGUAACUGACGCUGAUGCUCGAAAGUGUGGGUAUCAAACAGGAUUAGAUACCCUGGUAGUCCACACAGUAAACGAUGAAUACUCGCUGUUUGCGAUAUACAGUAAGCGGCCAAGCGAAAGCAUUAAGUAUUCCACCUGGGGAGUACGCCGGCAACGGUGAAACUCAAAGGAAUUGACGGGGGCCCGCACAAGCGGAGGAACAUGUGGUUUAAUUCGAUGAUACGCGAGGAACCUUACCCGGGCUUAAAUUGCAAAUGAAUUAUGGGGAAACCCAUAGGCCGUAAGGCAUUUGUGAAGGUGCUGCAUGGUUGUCGUCAGCUCGUGCCGUGAGGUGUCGGCUUAAGUGCCAUAACGAGCGCAACCCUUAUCUUCAGUUACUAACAGGUCAUGCUGAGGACUCUGGAGAGACUGCCGUCGUAAGAUGUGAGGAAGGUGGGGAUGACGUCAAAUCAGCACGGCCCUUACGUCCGGGGCUACACACGUGUUACAAUGGGGGGUACAGAAGGCCGCUACCUGGUGACAGGAUGCCAAUCCCAAAAACCUCUCUCAGUUCGGAUCGAAGUCUGCAACCCGACUUCGUGAAGCUGGAUUCGCUAGUAAUCGCGCAUCAGCCAUGGCGCGGUGAAUACGUUCCCG